AGAGUUUGAUCAUGGCUCAGGAUGAACGCUAGCUACAGGCUUAACACAUGCAAGUCGAGGGGCAGCAUGUUGGUUGCUUGCAACCAAUGAUGGCGACCGGCGCACGGGUGAGUAACGCGUAUCCAACCUACCCUUGUCCAUCGGAUAACCCGUCGAAAGGCGGCCUAACACGAUAUGCGGUUCACAGCAGGCACCUAAGGUGAACGAAAUGUGAAGGAGAAGGAUGGGGAUGCGUCUGAUUAGCUUGUUGGCGGGGUAACGGCCCACCAAGGCGACGAUCAGUAGGGGUUCUGAGAGGAAGGUCCCCCACAUUGGAACUGAGACACGGUCCAAACUCCUACGGGAGACA
This 349-nucleotide ribosomal RNA is filed under the name uncultured bacterium. RNAcentral's name for it is "bacterial SSU rRNA". It matches the Rfam family "Bacterial small subunit ribosomal RNA", at positions 8 to 350 of the family's 1533-position model. The record is from RNAcentral.